UUGACCUCGGAUCAGGUAGGAA
RNAcentral lists this ribosomal RNA (22 nucleotides) under Colletotrichum truncatum. RNAcentral's name for it is "partial 28S ribosomal RNA". The record is from RNAcentral. RNAcentral also lists the same sequence under 24 other names. Lineage: Eukaryota; Fungi; Ascomycota; Sordariomycetes; Glomerellales; Glomerellaceae.